AGCAGCCGCGGUAAUUCCAGCUCCAAUAGCGUAUAUUAAAGUUGUUGCAGUUAAAAAGCUCGUAGUUGAAUUUCGGGAUCAAUACGUCGGUCGUGCUUAGGUACGUACUGGCGUAAUUGAUUUCUCCCUUCUGACGAACCAUGAUGUCAUUAACUUGGUGUCAUGGGAAAUCAGGACUGUUACUUUGAAAAAAUUAGAGUGUUUAAAGCAGGCUCACGCUUGAAUACAUUAGCAUGGAAUAAUGAAAUAGGACGUUCGAUCCUAUUUUGUUGGUUUUUAGGAUCAACGUAAUGAUUAAUAGGGAUAGUUGGGGGCAUUAGUAUUCAAUUGUCAGAGGUGAAAUUCUUGGAUUUAUUGAAGACUAACUACUGCGAAAGCAUUUGCCAAGGAUGUUUUCAUUAAUCAAGAACGAAAGUUAGGGGAUCGAAGACGAUCAGAUACCGUCGUAGUCUUAACCAUAAACUAUGCCGACUAGGGAUCGGAUGAUGUUAAUUUUUUAAUGUACUCAAUUCGGCGUCCU
RNAcentral lists this unclassified non-coding RNA (520 nucleotides) under uncultured Glomus. RNAcentral describes it as "SSU rRNA". It matches the Rfam family "Eukaryotic small subunit ribosomal RNA", at positions 569 to 1089 of the family's 1831-position model. Lineage: Eukaryota; Fungi; Glomeromycota; Glomeromycetes; Glomerales; Glomeraceae. The record is from RNAcentral.